This 497-nucleotide ribosomal RNA is filed under the name uncultured bacterium. RNAcentral describes it as "partial 16S ribosomal RNA". It matches the Rfam family "Bacterial small subunit ribosomal RNA", at positions 28 to 507 of the family's 1533-position model. The record is from RNAcentral.
GAUGAACGCUGGCGGCGUGCCUAAUACAUGCAAGUCGAGCGAACGGACGAGAAGCUUGCUUCUCUGAUGUUAGCGGCGGACGGGUGAGUAACACGUGGAUAACCUACCUAUAAGACUGGGAUAACUUCGGGAAACCGGAGCUAAUACCGGAUAAUAUUUUGAACCGCAUGGUUCAAAAGUGAAAGACGGUCUUGCUGUCACUUAUAGAUGGAUCCGCGCUGCAUUAGCUAGUUGGUAAGGUAACGGCUUACCAAGGCAACGAUGCAUAGCCGACCUGAGAGGGUGAUCGGCCACCCUGGAACUGAGACACGGUCCAGACUCCUACGGGAGGCAGCAGUAGGGAAUCUUCCGCAAUGGGCGAAAGCCUGACGGAGCAACGCCGCGUUAGUGAUGAAGGUCUUCGGAACGUAAAACUCUGUUAUUAGGGAAGAACAGAUGUGUAAGUAACUGUGCACGGCUUUACGGUACCUAAUCAGAAAGCCACGGCUAACUACGUG